CUCUUUCUAAGUUACUUCGUCUGAUUAUGGUGAUCUUAUAGUAAGAAUAAUGUUGACUGAAGAUGAAGAUUUCACUGUAGAUAUCAACCUCUUCAGAAAGUUGCUAUUGUGGAAGGAACUUCAGUUAAACUGGAAGGAAACUGAUGUAGCUAGGAAUAGAAGAAGAUGAUAAAGAUCGUGAGCUUGUAGUCAAAAUAAUGUUGAAACUGUUGAAGAUGAAUAUUUCUGACUGGAUAUCAACAUCUUCAGAAAGUUGCUAUUGUGGAAGGAUCUUCAGUUAAACUGGAAGAAAACUGAUGUAGCUAGGAAUGGAAGAUGAUAAAGAUGGUGAGCUUGUAGUCAAAAUAAUGUUGAAACUGUUGAAGAUGAAUAUUUCUGACUGCAGGAUAUCAACCACUUCAGAAAGUUGCUGUUGUGGAAAGACAGGUGCAAGAUGGGGAAUUGUUAGAAUGAAAAUAAUUGAAGCCAGUUGAAGCAUUGGUGGAUGAAAUCUGGUUUAAGAAUUACAGAAAUAAAUCAUUGUGAUCUUUUCCUGAACGGAACUCUUUUCCACGUGGAGAUUCUGUUGGAAGCUGUAGUAAAUAUAUCUACAUUAUUCAGUAGUUGGAUAGCUGAGACAUGGGCAUCAUCAACAUCACAAGCCUUUUCUUCCAUAGACAACUUGCUUUAUCAUUAGUGGUGAAGAUGAUAGGCUCUUGACUGUAAUGUACUAGAUGUAUUUAAGUAACUUGGUUUUAGUUUUGAUUUAUUUUAAUGGUAGACAUUUGUUGAAAUCCUGGAAAAAGCAUUGAUGUGAUCUUGUUCUUGGAUGGCAUGGGCCAUUGUAAAUCUUUAACUUGUAGUAAAACAAUUAUUAAAUCUUCAAAGGGUUAGUAUUAUAACCACCCUAUAUCUGGACAAUGUACAAAAUAAUUAUUAAUAUUUUAAGGCAGUGAGUGAAAUGUAAUAUUUAGUAGUAAUGGCUAGUUGAUUUGUUGCAGUGUAUGCUAAUAUAGGAACUUUUCAAUCACUUCAUUCCUGUAAGAACUUGUUCACGAAGUAUCAGUCUUUCUUCUUUCACCCUACCAGCUACAAACAAUUAUCUUCAAACAUUUUAUUUAAAAUCUAUCGUAAGUUAGAUAUAUUUGUAAUGUUAUAGGCCUGCUCAUUCUUUGUAAUUUCCUCUAGGUGACAAAUUACAGUUAAAGUUGUAAUAAUAGUGUAAAAUCGUUUUUGAGAAACUCGCACAUGUAUAACAUUGAUUAUAUGGGUACCCCUGGAAACGUAAUUUGUAAGAGCCUUUUUGUUAAUGUUAUGGUGAGUUAGCUGGUUGCCUUUUUACUUGUGCUUGUACACGAGUGUCAUAAGCGAUACGUUAUCAAAGUAUUGCUUUUAUGUGUUAGUGUCAACUUUUUUGUAGUUGGCAUUAGUCAUCUGUCAAUUACUGGAACUAGUGCCUCUACUUUGUUACUAGGAAUAGCAUCAUUUAUCUUUAAAUCUAUUGUAACUUAAUUCUCAAUGCCAAUAAUCUUUAGCUUCUCAAUGCUUUUUUUUUUCUAUACACGUGUUACAUUUUACUGCUUCCUCUGUCUAUAAUAACACCUUAAAUUUGGAAGUUACCAUGAAACAAUUACCCAAAAUUCCUUCACUCCCCUUAAGAAUUUUCUUGUGUCAUAAGAAAAUUUCCACUAUCAAACUAUUGUACUUCCAACUCCACUUCAGUCAAUGUGUAAUGAGUUAUGCCCUAGUAGGCUUAGUUGUUAGUUUCAAUUAAAACUAUUUGUCACACCAAAUUUGUUUGUAGAAUUGUCUUGGGCCAAGGGUGAACUUUUAUUAAUUCAUCUAAUUAACAGUA
RNAcentral lists this long non-coding RNA (1834 nucleotides) under Limulus polyphemus (Atlantic horseshoe crab). Its description in RNAcentral is "uncharacterized LOC106475717, transcript variant X2". Lineage: Eukaryota; Metazoa; Arthropoda; Merostomata; Xiphosura; Limulidae. The record is from RNAcentral.